This 139-nucleotide small nucleolar RNA is filed under the name Bombyx mori (domestic silkworm). Its description in RNAcentral is "Bm_107". The record is from RNAcentral. Lineage: Eukaryota; Metazoa; Arthropoda; Insecta; Lepidoptera; Bombycidae.
AUUCCCACUCAACGCUGUGUUCUCGGUUUUGUAUGACUGCUGAUCACAUUAUAACAAUGUGGGUAUAACGAGGCGCUCUACUAAAACACAUGCAGGUUUCAUCAAUAAAUUUGUGUGCACCUAAGUCUUGCUACAAUUU